AUUGAACGCUGGCGGCAGGCCUAACACAUGCCAGUCGAGCGGAUGAAGGGAGCUUGCUCCUGGAUUCAGCGGCGGACGGGUGAGUAAUGCCUAGGAAUCUGCCUGGUAGUGGGGGAUAACGUCCGGAAACGGGCGCUAAUACCGCAUACGUCCUGAGGGAGAAAGUGGGGGAUCUUCGGACCUCACGCUAUCAGAUGAGCCUAGGUCGGAUUAGCUAGUUGGUGGGGUAAAGGCCUACCAAGGCGACGAUCCGUAACUGGUCUGAGAGGAUGAUCAGUCACACUGGAACUGAGACACGGUCCAGACUCCUACGGGAGGCAGCAGUGGGGAAUAUUGGACAAUGUGCGAAAGCCUGAUCCAGCCAUGCCGCGUGUGUGAAGAAGGUCUUCGGAUUGUAAAGCACUUUAAGUUGGGAGGAAGGGCAGUAAGUUAAUACCUUGCUGUUUUGACGUUACCAACAGAAUAAGCACCGGCUAACUUCGUG
This 484-nucleotide ribosomal RNA is filed under the name uncultured bacterium. Its description in RNAcentral is "partial 16S ribosomal RNA". It matches the Rfam family "Bacterial small subunit ribosomal RNA", at positions 30 to 507 of the family's 1533-position model. The record is from RNAcentral.